AAUAAGAUGGCUGAGUUUUAAGCGGUAGAUUGUAAAUCUAUAGACAAGUUUAUACUUUCUUAUUA
RNAcentral lists this transfer RNA (65 nucleotides) under Hepatus epheliticus (calico box crab). RNAcentral describes it as "tRNA-Tyr". It matches the Rfam family "tRNA". Rfam says of the family: Transfer RNA (tRNA) molecules are approximately 80 nucleotides in length. Their secondary structure includes four short double-helical elements and three loops (D, anti-codon, and T loops). The record is from RNAcentral. Lineage: Eukaryota; Metazoa; Arthropoda; Malacostraca; Decapoda; Calappidae.